Molecule: long non-coding RNA, 712 nt
Organism: Oxyura jamaicensis (ruddy duck)
Lineage: Eukaryota; Metazoa; Chordata; Aves; Anseriformes; Anatidae
Exons: 2
Source: RefSeq, a predicted model, not a curated record
GCAGGCUGCAGCUGCUUCCCUGUGUGCGCAGGCAGGAAAGGAGUUUUCUGAGGUCCAGGACACGUGAGGAGACCUUCCAAAGCUGUCCUUCCCUGGCCAGCCAAAUAAAUACAGCCAGGCAGCCGCAAAUGGCCACGUUCACAAACGUCUCCUCCCUUGUUGGCAGAGCAUCUGCAAACAGAUCCGCAACUAUCUCGGACUUGGUCAUGAUGGAAAGUCGCUCAGUGGAAGUUUAUUCACAAGUUACACUUUCUCCUGUGUUUGGAAGCCAAAUGACCAACUUGCAGCUUUGCUGUGGUCAAUGACGUGGCUUUGGUCCCCAGCCUGAAGGAAUGCCACUUGUCUCUUAGCUGGAGAUGGGAAGGAGAGAAGCUAAAUCUGACACCGGAGAGUCAUAAGCCCACAUGAUGAGUUUCAGCUGCUACUGAAACCUGGUGGCAUGAAUGUGAACGCAAAGAGGUAUGCUACUUAUUUUUAAAUCGCUUCUUGAAUAUUUCCACCACCAAUAUGUCUCCACUGCUAAUAUACAGUCUUCAAGGAUCAAGUAUAAGUAUAUAUCAAGUAUAAGUUUUGGCAACUUUUCUAGAGCACGAGGAGCCAGGACCUCUGCAAUCCAGCUUUCCUUUUUUUUUUUUUUUUUUCCUGCAUCUUUUCAAUAAGUUUCCCCCCUCUGCUAUGGAAAUUAGAAAGUAGAGCAUGAAGAUGCUAAAAA